Molecule: small nuclear RNA, 102 nt
Filed under: Zootermopsis nevadensis
Lineage: Eukaryota; Metazoa; Arthropoda; Insecta; Blattodea; Termopsidae
Source: RNAcentral
AUGUUUGGCUGUACAUAUACGAUAAUUUAAACCAUGUAGAGGAUAUUAGCAUGGCCCUUGUGCAAGGAUGAAAUGCAAAAUCAACAUGCAGGAUCAUUGCCC